GAUGAAGAACGCAGCGAAAUGCGAUACGUAAUGUGAAUUGCAGAAUUCAGUGAAUCAUCGAAUCUUUGAACGCAUAUUGCGUUCUCUGGUAUUCCGGAGAGCAUGCUUGUUUGAGUAUCAGUAAACACCUCAACUUCCAUAUCUUUUUUGAAAUGGGAGUUGGACUUGAGUGAUCCCAACGCUUUUCCUCACCGAAAAGUGGCGGGUUACUUGAAAUGCAGGUGCAGCUGGACUUUUCUCUGAGCUAUAAGCAUAUCUAUUUAGUCUGCCUAAAAAACAGAUUAUUACCUUUGCUGCAGCUAACAUAAAGGAGAUUAGUUCUUGUGCUGACUGAUGCAGGAUUCACAAAGACAGGCUUCGGCCGACUUUGUAAACUCGAUCUCAAAUCAAGUAAGACUACCCGCUGAACUUAAGCAUAUCAAUAAGCGGAGGA
RNAcentral lists this unclassified non-coding RNA (433 nucleotides) under soil metagenome. RNAcentral describes it as "partial contains 5.8S ribosomal RNA, internal transcribed spacer 2, and large subunit ribosomal RNA". The stretch from base 1 to 120 matches the Rfam family "5.8S ribosomal RNA", at positions 35 to 154 of the family's 154-position model. The record is from RNAcentral.